AAAAUGCGAUAAGUAAUGUGAAUUGCAGAAUUCAGUGAAUCAUCGAAUCUUUGAACGCACAUUGCGCCCGCCAGUAUUCUGGCGGGCAUGCCUGUUCGAGCGUCAUUUCAACCCUCAAGCUCAGCUUGGUGUUGGGACUCGCGGUAACCCGCGUUCCCCAAAUCGAUUGGCGGUCACGUCGAGCUUCCAUAGCGUAGUAAUCAUACACCUCGUUACUGGUAAUCGUCGCGGCCACGCCGUAAAACCCCAACUUCUGAAUGUUGACCUCGGAUCAGGUAGGAAUACCCGCUGAACUUAAGC
RNAcentral lists this unclassified non-coding RNA (300 nucleotides) under plant metagenome. RNAcentral's name for it is "partial contains 5.8S ribosomal RNA, internal transcribed spacer 2, and large subunit ribosomal RNA". The stretch from base 1 to 105 matches the Rfam family "5.8S ribosomal RNA", at positions 50 to 154 of the family's 154-position model. The record is from RNAcentral.